Molecule: ribosomal RNA, 516 nt
Filed under: uncultured bacterium
Lineage: Bacteria
Description: bacterial SSU rRNA
Rfam family: Bacterial small subunit ribosomal RNA
Source: RNAcentral
UGAGGGAAGAACAAGUACCAACUAACUACUGGUACCGUGACGGUACCUCACCAGAAAGCCACGGCUAACUACGUGCCAGCAGCCGCGGUAAUACGUAGGUGGCAAGCGUUGUCCGGAAUUAUUGGGCGUAAGGCGCGCGCAGGCGGUCCUUUAAGUCUGAUGUGAAAGCCCACGGCUCAACCGUGGAGGGUCAUUGGAAACUGGAGGACUUGAGUGCAGAAGAGGAAAGUGGAAUUCCACGUGUAGCGGUGAAAUGCGUAGAGAUGUGGAGGAACACCAGUGGCGAAGGCGACUUUCUGGUCUGUAACUGACACUGAGGCGCGAAAGCGUGGGGAGCAAACAGGAUUAGAUACCCUGGUAGUCCACGCCGUAAACGAUGAGUGCUAAGUGUUAGGGGGUUUCCACCCCUUAGUGCUGCAGCUAACGCAUUAAGCACUCCGCCUGGGGAGUACGGCCGCAAGGCUGAAACUCAAAGGAAUUGACGGGGGCCCGCACAAGCGGUGGAGCAUGUGGUUU